This 499-nucleotide ribosomal RNA is filed under the name Klebsiella pneumoniae. Its description in RNAcentral is "partial 23S ribosomal RNA". It matches the Rfam family "Bacterial large subunit ribosomal RNA", at positions 361 to 867 of the family's 2925-position model. The record is from RNAcentral. Lineage: Bacteria; Pseudomonadati; Pseudomonadota; Gammaproteobacteria; Enterobacterales; Enterobacteriaceae.
AGGGUGAUAGUCCCGUACACCAAAAUGCACAGGCUGUGAACUCGAAGAGUAGGGCGGGACACGUGGUAUCCUGUCUGAAUAUGGGGGGACCAUCCUCCAAGGCUAAAUACUCCUGACUGACCGAUAGUGAACCAGUACCGUGAGGGAAAGGCGAAAAGAACCCCGGCGAGGGGAGUGAAAAAGAACCUGAAACCGUGUACGUACAAGCAGUGGGAGCACCUUCGGGUGUGACUGCGUACCUUUUGUAUAAUGGGUCAGCGACUUAUAUUCUGUAGCAAGGUUAACCGUAUAGGGGAGCCGCAGGGAAACCGAGUCUUAACUGGGCGUUAAGUUGCAGGGUAUAGACCCGAAACCCGGUGAUCUAGCCAUGGGCAGGUUGAAGGUUGGGUAACACUAACUGGAGGACCGAACCGACUAAUGUUGAAAAAUUAGCGGAUGACUUGUGGCUGGGGGUGAAAGGCCAAUCAAACCGGGAGAUAGCUGGUUCUCCCCGAAAGCU